GGAGAGGUGUCCGAGCGGUUUAAGGAGGUUGUAGGUCUUGAAAACCAGUGACUUCAGAGAACUUCGGCCUUCCAAGGCCGACCGCGGGUUCGAAUCCCUUCACCCUCUCCGCCA
This 114-nucleotide transfer RNA is filed under the name Serpentinicella alkaliphila. RNAcentral's name for it is "tRNA-Ser". The record is from RNAcentral. Lineage: Bacteria; Bacillati; Bacillota; Clostridia; Peptostreptococcales; Natronincolaceae.